RNAcentral lists this ribosomal RNA (915 nucleotides) under uncultured archaeon. RNAcentral's name for it is "bacterial SSU rRNA". It matches the Rfam family "Archaeal small subunit ribosomal RNA", at positions 1 to 922 of the family's 1478-position model. The record is from RNAcentral.
UUCCGGUUGAUCCUGCCGGAGGCUACCGCUAUUGGAAUCCGAUUAAGCCAUGCGAGUCGAGAGGGUUAAGCCCCUCGGCGGACGUCUCAGUAACACGUGGGUAAUCUGCCCUUGAGUGGGGGAUAAACUCGGAAACCUGAGUAUAAUACCCCAUAGGCCUAGGAUGCUGGAAUGCUUCUAGGCUCAAAGCUCCGGCGCUCAAGGAUGAGUCUGCGACCUAUCAGGCAGUAGUGGGUGUAACGGACCCACUAACCUUCGACGGGUACGGGCCUUGAGAGAGGUUGCCCGGAGUUGGACUCUGAGACACGAGUCCAGGCCCUACGGGGUGCAGCAGGCGCGAAAACUUCACAAUGUGGGAAACCGCGAUGAGGGGAUUCCAAGUGCUAACACUUUGUGUUAGCUGUUCACCUGCCUAAAAAGCUGGUGAAGUAAGGGCCGGGUAAGACGGGUGCCAGCCGCCGCGGUAAUACCUGCGGCCCGAGUGGUGGUCGUUAUUAUUGAGCCUAAAGCGUCCGUAGCCGGUUCAGUAAAUCUCUGGGUAAAUCGGGCAGCUCAACUGUCCGACUUCCGGAAAGACUGCUGAACUUGGGACCGGGGGAGGUUGGAGGUACUCCUGGGGUAGGGGUGAAAUCCUGUAAUCCUAGGGGGACCACCAGUGGCGAAGGCGUCCAACCAAAACGGCUCCGACGGUAAGGGACGAAGCCCUGGGGCGCAAACGGGAUUAGAUACCCCGGUAGUCCAGGGUGUAAACGCUGCAGGCUUGGUGUUGGGGGUCCUACGAGGGCGCCCAGUGCCGGAGAGAAGUUGUUAAGCCUGCCGCUUGGGGAGUACGUCCGCAAGGAUGAAACUUAAAGGAAUUGGCGGGGGAGCACAGCAACGGGUGGAGCGUGCGGUUCAAUUGGAUUCAACGCCGGG